ACUCGACAAAGGCACAACCGGCGAAAGCCGGCGUCGCAAAGCUCCCGGGUACCGGCCCAGCGCGCCGGCACGGCCGAGCUACCGAG
RNAcentral lists this non-coding RNA (86 nucleotides) under Lysobacter enzymogenes. Its description in RNAcentral is "c-di-GMP sequence". It matches the Rfam family "c-di-GMP-I riboswitch aptamer". From Rfam's summary of the family: GEMM was predicted in a large-scale screen for bacterial structured RNA regulatory elements. Genes associated with GEMM are involved in a diverse array of functions, including chemotaxis regulation, signal transduction, secretion and chitin. The record is from Rfam by way of RNAcentral. Lineage: Bacteria; Pseudomonadati; Pseudomonadota; Gammaproteobacteria; Lysobacterales; Lysobacteraceae.